UUUUAUUUCACUUUAUAUCUUUUCGAUCAUUGUUAUGAUGUUUUUUUUACUUUUAUAAUCAAUUUUCAAAGUUGUUGCUUCACUUGAGGUAUAGUUUCUGAUUAGAUUCUAUUUUCUUUUGUCGACAUGUCAGUAUUUUCUUAUAUUUGGACUUUUGUACAAAAUACCUGUUAGUUUAACUAUCUUGCUUAAUUGUGGGUUUCUAUAGGAUUUGUGCCCGCCUAAUAUGUCAGCUUAACUUAUCUAUUGGCUUAAUUCAUAUUUUACAAAGUAAAUUAACUAGGAUGGACAUUGCGAAAUAAUUACAACCAGUGUGUCUCUAUAUUAGUUUCUUUGAUUGUUGUGUUGGUGUUUUCUUACUAUUCCUUUUUAAAAUUAUUUGACUAUAAGUUUUGCAACUUAUAUAUUAUAAUUAAUUUUGUAAGUUGCUGCUUCACUUGAUUUUCGAACUACUGCAAUCGCAUAUUUUUGGGACAGUAGGUUAGUAAUAUUUCUCAAUCAAGUUUUUCUAUUAGUCAUAUUUCAUUCUUUCUUUAAUUUUUUACUGACUAUUGCCUUUUCUUUCAGCCAACUCUUGCACUCUUUCCUGGACUUCUACAAGCACUCUUUCCUCGGCUUAUACAUCUCUCAAUUUUAUUAUAUCUAUGGUCACUCAUGCUGCUGUUGAAUUAACUGCUUAUACUUUUAUUUGUUUGUUACUCAAAAUUUUUUAGUUCUUUUAUGUAUUUACUAUUUUGUCCUUAACUGUAUAUCAUAUUUUAUACUUAAAAUAGUGGCUACUUUUAUUGUUUUGGUGAUAGCUUCCAUGCUGCGAGGUUUCUACUACUUUUUACUUCUAAAUCUUAUAUGAGUUUAUUAUAUUUUAUAUUCUGAAGUUUUUCAAGUAUGCCAGACUUUUUUUUGUUUAAAGUCGCUGAAUUACAACUACUUUUGUUUAAUUAUAGCUUCAAGU
This 952-nucleotide long non-coding RNA is filed under the name Ananas comosus (pineapple). RNAcentral's name for it is "long non-coding RNA (ACOM_LNC016080)". The record is from RNAcentral. Lineage: Eukaryota; Viridiplantae; Streptophyta; Magnoliopsida; Poales; Bromeliaceae.